This 429-nucleotide ribosomal RNA is filed under the name Gemmatimonadota bacterium. Its description in RNAcentral is "Gemmatimonadetes bacterium partial 16S ribosomal RNA". It matches the Rfam family "Bacterial small subunit ribosomal RNA", at positions 355 to 776 of the family's 1533-position model. Lineage: Bacteria; Pseudomonadati; Gemmatimonadota. The record is from RNAcentral.
UAGGGAAUCUUCGGCAAUGGACGAAAGUCUGACCGAGCAACGCCGCGUGAGUGAAGAAGGUUUUCGGAUCGUAAAACUCUGUUGUUAGAGAAGAACAAGGACGUUAGUAACUGAACGUCCCCUGACGGUAUCUAACCAGAAAGCCACGGCUAACUACGUGCCAGCAGCCGCGGUAAUACGUAGGUGGCAAGCGUUGUCCGGAUUUAUUGGGCGUAAAGCGAGCGCAGGCGGUUUCUUAAGUCUGAUGUGAAAGCCCCCGGCUCAACCGGGGAGGGUCAUUGGAAACUGGGAGACUUGAGUGCAGAAGAGGAGAGUGGAAUUCCAUGUGUAGCGGUGAAAUGCGUAGAUAUAUGGAGGAACACCAGUGGCGAAGGCAGCUCUCUGGUCUGGAACUGACGCUGAGGCUCGAAAGCGUGGGGAGCAAACAGG